This 496-nucleotide ribosomal RNA is filed under the name uncultured bacterium. Its description in RNAcentral is "partial 16S ribosomal RNA". It matches the Rfam family "Bacterial small subunit ribosomal RNA", at positions 29 to 507 of the family's 1533-position model. The record is from RNAcentral.
AUGAACGCUGGCGGCGUGCCUAAUACCUGCAAGUCGAGCGAACAGAUGAGGAGCUUGCUCCCCUGACGUUCGCGGCGGACGGGUGAGUAACACGUGGAUAACCUACCUAUAAGACUGGGAUAACUUCGGGAAACCGGAGCUAAUACCGGAUAAUAUAUUGAACCGCAUGGUUCAAUAGUGAAAGACGGUUUUGCUGUCACUUAUAGAUGGAUCCGCGCCGCAUUAGCUAGUUGGUAAGGUAACGGCUUACCAAGGCAACGAUGCGUAGCCGACCUGAGAGGGUGAUCGGCCACACUGGAACUGAGACACGGUCCAGACUCCUACGGGAGGCAGCAGUAGGGAAUCUUCCGCAAUGGGCGAAAGCCUGACGGAGCAACGCCGCGUGAGUGAUGAAGGUCUUCGGAUCGUAAAACUCUGUUAUUAGGGAAGAACAAAUGUGUAAGUAACUAUGCACGUCUUGACGGUACCUAAUCAGAAAGCCACGGCUAACUACGUG